This 77-nucleotide transfer RNA is filed under the name Penelope pileata. Its description in RNAcentral is "tRNA-Trp". It matches the Rfam family "tRNA". Rfam says of the family: Transfer RNA (tRNA) molecules are approximately 80 nucleotides in length. Their secondary structure includes four short double-helical elements and three loops (D, anti-codon, and T loops). Further hydrogen bonds mediate the characteristic L-shaped molecular structure. tRNAs have two regions of fundamental functional importance: the anti-codon, which is responsible for specific mRNA codon recognition, and the 3' end, to which the tRNAs corresponding amino acid is attached (by aminoacyl-tRNA synthetases). tRNAs cope with the degeneracy of the genetic code in two manners: having more than one tRNA (with a specific anti-codon) for a particular amino acid; and 'wobble' base-pairing, i.e. permitting non-standard base-pairing at the 3rd anti-codon position. The record is from RNAcentral. Lineage: Eukaryota; Metazoa; Chordata; Aves; Galliformes; Cracidae.
AGAAACUUAGGAUAACCUAACCCCCAAACCGGAGGCCUUCAAAGCCUCAAAUAAGAGUUAAACUCUCUUAGUUUCUG